RNAcentral lists this ribosomal RNA (301 nucleotides) under uncultured bacterium. Its description in RNAcentral is "partial 16S ribosomal RNA". It matches the Rfam family "Bacterial small subunit ribosomal RNA", at positions 509 to 807 of the family's 1533-position model. The record is from RNAcentral.
CAGCAGCCGCGGGAAUACAGAGGGUGCGAGCGUUAAUCGGAUUUACUGGGCGUAAAGCGUGCGUAGGCGGCUUCUUAAGUCGGAUGUGAAAUCCCUGAGCUUAACUUAGGAAUUGCAUUCGAUACUGGGAAGCUAGAGUAUGGGAGAGGUUGGUAGAAUUCCAGGUGUAGCGGUGAAAUGCGUAGAGAUCUGGAGGAAUACCGAUGGCGAAGGCAGCCAUCUGGCCUAAUACUGACGCUGAGGUACUAAAGCAUGGGGAGCAAACAGGAUUAGAUACCCCUGUAGUCCCUGUCUCUUAUAC